RNAcentral lists this ribosomal RNA (332 nucleotides) under uncultured Gracilibacter sp. RNAcentral describes it as "bacterial SSU rRNA". It matches the Rfam family "Bacterial small subunit ribosomal RNA", at positions 568 to 898 of the family's 1533-position model. The record is from RNAcentral. Lineage: Bacteria; Bacillati; Bacillota; Clostridia; Eubacteriales; Gracilibacteraceae.
CGCGUAGGCGGUCCCUUAAGUCAGAUGUGAAAUCCCGAGGCUCAACCUCGGGCGUGCAUUUGAAACUGGGGGACUAGAGUGCAGGAGAGGUAAGUGGAAUUCCUAGUGUAGCGGUGAAAUGCGUAGAUAUUAGGAGGAACACCAGUGGCGAAGGCGACUUACUGGACUGUAACUGACGCUGAGGCGCGAAAGCGUGGGGAGCAAACAGGAUUAGAUACCCUGGUAGUCCACGCUGUAAACGAUGGAUACUAGGUGUGGGAGGUAUCGACCCCUUCCGUGCCGCAGUAAACGCAAUAAGUAUCCCGCCUGGGGAGUACGGCCGCAAGGUUGAA